Molecule: ribosomal RNA, 494 nt
Filed under: uncultured bacterium
Lineage: Bacteria
Description: bacterial SSU rRNA
Rfam family: Bacterial small subunit ribosomal RNA
Source: RNAcentral
AUGAACGCUAGCGACAGGCCUAACACAUACAAGUCAGGGGCAGCACAAGGAGCAAUCUGAGGUGGCGACCGGCGCACGGGUGAGUAACACGUAUGCAACCUGCCUGUAAGCGGGGAAUAACCCGUUGAAAGACGGACUAAUACCGCAUAAUACUAAAUUACUGCAUGGUAAUUUAUUUAAACAUUUAUGGCUUACAGAUGGGCAUGCGCAUGAUUAGCUAGUUGGAGAGGUAACGGCUCCCCAAGGCAACGAUCAUUAGGGGUUCUGAGAGGAAGGUCCCCCACACUGGUACUGAGACACGGACCAGACUCCUACGGGAGGCAGCAGUGAGGAAUAUUGGUCAAUGGACGAGAGUCUGAACCAGCCAAGUCGCGUGCAGGAAGAAUGUCCCUAUGGAUUGUAAACUGCUUUUGCAGGGGAAUAAAGUGCAUCACGUGUGAUGUUUUGUAUGUACUCUGCGAAUAAGGAUCGGCUAACUCCGUGCCAGCCGCCGC